Molecule: microRNA precursor, 168 nt
Filed under: Pelobates cultripes (western spadefoot toad)
Lineage: Eukaryota; Metazoa; Chordata; Amphibia; Anura; Pelobatidae
Source: RNAcentral
GCAGACACAUUCCAGCCAAUCAGCAGCAGACCCUCCCUCCCAAACCUUCCCACCUCCUGGACAGCAUCCAUUUUACAUUCAUUGUGAAGCUGCAUUCUUAGUGAGCUGUCCAGGAGGUGGGAGGGUCUGGGAGGGAGGGUCUGCUGCUGAUUGGCUGGAAUGUGUCUG